UUGGUUCCUCUUCUUGUUUUGUGUUUUUGUAAAUAUAUGUGUAUCUUUUCUCUUAAAUAUAUGUUCUGAAAAGAAAGAAAAGAAAAGAGACAGGAUGAAAAAAAAAUACAAUAAAAAAAUAGAUGAAAAUGAGAAAAAAAAAUUAUGAAUAAUGGAGUCAAGAAGAGGAUUGAAUUAGAGGUUUUAGGUGUGAUUUGACUGUGUUUACACUUGUUCCCCAUUACUCCUCUAUUUCUUUUGGUUUGUAGCUUCUCAUCCAUAUGUUAUCCUCC
This 272-nucleotide long non-coding RNA is filed under the name Vigna radiata. RNAcentral's name for it is "long non-coding RNA (VRAD_LNC012043)". Lineage: Eukaryota; Viridiplantae; Streptophyta; Magnoliopsida; Fabales; Fabaceae. The record is from RNAcentral.